UGCUGUUUCGCUGACGAGUGGCGGACGGGUGAGUAAUGUCUGGGAAACUGCCUGAUGGAGGGGGAUAACUACUGGAAACGGUAGCUAAUACCGCAUAACGUCGCAAGACCAAAGAGGGGGACCUUCGGGCCUCUUGCCAUCGGAUGUGCUCAGAUGGGAUUAGCUAGUAGGUGGGGUAACGGCUCACCUAGGCGACGAUCCCUAGCUGGUCUGAGAGGAUGACCAGCCACACUGGAACUGAGACACGGUCCAGACUCCUACGGGAGGCAGCAGUGGGGAAUAUUGCACAAUGGGCGCAAGCCUGAUGCAGCCAUGCCGCGUGUAUGAAGAAGGCCUUCGGGUUGUAAAGUACUUUCAGCGGGGAGGAAGGGAGUAAAGUUAAUACCUUUACUCAUUGACGUUACCCGCAGAAGAAGCACCGGCUAACUCCGUGCCAGCAGCCGCGGUAAUACGGAGGGUGCAAGCGUUAAUCGGAAUUACUGGGCGUAAAGCGCACGCAGGCGGUUUGUUAAGUCAGAUGUGAAAUCCCCGGGCUCAACCUGGGAACUGCAUCUGAUACUGGCAAGCUUGAGUCUCGUAGAGGGGGGUAGAAUUCCAGGUGUAGCGGUGAAAUGCGUAGAGAUCUGGAGGAAUACCGGUGGCGAAGGCGGCCCCCUGGACGAAGACUGACGCUCAGGUGCGAAAGCGUGAGGAGCAAACAGGAUUAGAUACCCUGGUAGUCCACGCCGUANACGAUGUCGACUUGGAGGUUGUGCCCUUGAGGCGUGGCUUCCGGAGCUAACNCGUUAAGU
Molecule: ribosomal RNA, 791 nt
Filed under: uncultured bacterium
Lineage: Bacteria
Description: bacterial SSU rRNA
Rfam family: Bacterial small subunit ribosomal RNA
Source: RNAcentral